This 253-nucleotide ribosomal RNA is filed under the name uncultured bacterium. Its description in RNAcentral is "partial 16S ribosomal RNA". It matches the Rfam family "Bacterial small subunit ribosomal RNA", at positions 524 to 776 of the family's 1533-position model. The record is from RNAcentral.
UACGAAGGGUGCAAACGUUACUCGGAAUCAUUGGACGUAAAGCGCACGUAGGCGGCAUUCUAAGUCGGAUGUGAAAUCCCUCGGCUCAACCGAGGGCGUGCAUCCGAAACUGGAACGCUCGAGUAUGGAAGAGGGUCGCGGAAUUCUCGGUGUAGAGGUGAAAUUCGUAGAUAUCGGGAGGAACACCAGUGGCGAAGGCGGCGACCUGGGCCAAUACUGACGCUGAGGUGCGAAAGCGUGGGGAGCAAACAGG